Long non-coding RNA from Malurus melanocephalus (red-backed fairy wren), 5047 nucleotides. RefSeq lists it as uncharacterized. The record is from RefSeq and is a predicted model, not a curated record. The transcript has 4 exons. NCBI's taxonomy places the organism in Eukaryota, Metazoa, Chordata, Aves, Passeriformes, Maluridae.
ACAAGAAUGACUACAUGAAAUGUGCUAUUUAACAAAACUGAAAUUAGCAGUAAUAAAAUGAAGCAUUAACUUUUCUGUCCUGAACUAAUGCAUCUUCUGGCAAAAUACUAAUGUAUUCACACGUAUUUAAAAUUUUGUCCUUAAAUAUAGUUUUUAUUAAAUCCCAGUUCUUCAGUUAUCAUAAGUUUUUAUUAUUGAAACUAUAUUAAAAAAAUCUAGAGGGAUGUUGUUGUCCAAAUGGAGUAUAAAAAGAAUCAUUGGUCAGGACAUUGCUUAGCAUAAAAAUACUCUUACCUGUUCCAUGCAUAGAAAACUUAUUAAAAUGCAUAUUUCACAGUGAACCAGGUGGCUGUAUGGGUUGCUCAUAAUGGAAAAUUGAGGAUUUGUAUCUGCCAGUUUAUAGAUACAAAUCUGGCUCAGUACAUUUUCUCUAGAGCUUUUGGAGCAUCAUGGGCUGAGAUGCUGGGCAGAACCUCAGGUAACAGAUCCCACAGGAGCAAACAGGUCACCAGCAACAGUUUCUCUUAUCCUACAGAAAAUMAAACAUUUCAUUUGAAAGACUUAARUAGUUAUGUGAGAGAACCAGAAACAGUAAUAAGACAUUCCAAAUGGAUGAAAAUAUUCAAGUUCAAAUGCUAAUAUUUACAAAAUACAUGUGGGGGAGGUGUUUAAAUGCAAUCUCAUUCCAUGAUGAUGAGGAACAGAAAGUAAGGCAAAAGCAUAACAGCUGAGAAACAAAUACUUAAAAGGAAAUUAAUUGUUGUYCCUAUCCCUGCUUACUUUCUAGGUUCAAUGAAAACAGCUGGUCUUUAUAUUUAAAAUAUAAUUUGUUUUAAAUUAUAUUAACUGCCAAAACUUAGGAUGCAGAAAUACAGGCCCUACACAGUUUUUACCCAACUGGAUGGCUUGAACCUGACCAGAAGACCACAAGAAGUUACUGGAAUGAACCCCCGAGAAACUGUGCUGAUGCAGUGCCCUUUUACAGAUAAUCUCUUUCAUUGAACUGCAUCCAUAGAUGGUAUUUCCCUGUAAGCUGCUCUUGUGUUUGAUUUAAAAAACUAUCUGAAUUCCAUAAAUAAAAGAUAAGUUUCAUGGAUCAAUARAAAUUCAAAAUCUUCAGUAAAAAUGUAAGCAGGACUGGUGCCUGAAACUUUUUUUAAUGCUUUUUUUUAAUGCUAGAUGCUGCUUCAACUAUUCAGUAAAAAGUUACUGGAGACAAAUUAAAGGUGCCUCUGUUUCUAAUGCCUGUAAUUGUUUCAAAGCUUUUSAUCUUUCAUCUUAAUACAGGAGGUGAAAGUAUGCUUUUUCGUUUCUGCUAUGGAGUAAGGAGAAACGUGUUUGAAUAAUACUUCAAGGACCAUUCUGUGUCAUUUAUUUAACAUGUGCUGGGGAAGAAAUAGAUAGUUGUUUUGAGUCAUCUGCUCUGAUGUUCAAAAUUUAAGCCAGCCUUUGGUUAAUCUUUUGUUUGCACAUACUUUUUGCAGAAUGUACUCACAUCUCAGUGGAAUUUUACUUUUAAAUUAAAAAAAAAAAGAUUAAAAUCUAUACCAACUGAGACAAGUCAUGGAUUUCMAAGUCUGGCAUGAGAGAGUCACACUAGUAAAAACUCAUAUUUCAUCAGCUAUUGGCUAAUUAUUUAUAAAAAUUUGAUCAGAGUUUGCUCUCUGAUUAAAGCUGUUCUUCUGUGCUGGAAAAUAAUAGUUUGGUAUUGACAGCCCUUUCCAGGACACAUUGAUCCUUAGGAGAUACUGGUGCAGCUGCCACAUGAGUGACUCAAGCAGACAGCCUGGGAACAGCAAAUUGCUUAUAGGCAGCUUCUGAAAUAUAGAAAUAAACACACACACACACACACACACAGUAUAAUUGACUCUGCAACAGCUGUAACGGGUGAUACACGAGAUCUCCCGUUCACUAUGCAUUCCAAAUAUUAAACAGAACAAUAUAGUAAUAACAAAGAAGCAUGAAAACUCUGCACAUUUAUUGCUGUGGCACUAUMUGCAAAAGCCGUGCAAACAAAAGAUGAUGCAGUUAGGAAAGUAUAAAUAUUGUAUUUCAAUUUAAUUUUCUGUAUUUUUUAAUCCCAUGGAGAAUGCUAGUUUUUUAAUGGAGCCACAAUUUAUAGAAAGAAUAAAGCUUCCAAAUCUAACCGUUUCAAUAAGCUAAAACUUGUUCUUAUUUAAGACAGCGAUAGAGCCUUUAGAGGACAGGAUGAGACAUAAUUCUGAUCAAGCUAUUUUCCACAAACCUAGGCUGGAGAAAAAUCUCAUCUGUCUUCCCCUAACAAGAGCCGUAUGCUUUUGUUUUCUUUAAGGAAAGGGUAACAAGGGAUUCUUGAGAUUUAUGAACAGCACAGAUACUGCUCUUUUGGAGGAAAGGAUGUUAUUCAUGUACUUUCCAGAGAAAACAUUAUUUGCCUCUCUUUUCUGCUGUAGUUUUUAGAGGAAGGUUAGUAUUUGAGAAGUAGAAARGAUUACUGAAUAGAAAUUGCAAAAGAAUGUUUUUCAUGUAGUUGAGAAAUCCAGGAUGUUUUAUGCAUUACAGCAAGAAGAGAUAAAUCAUUCCAGCUGCUAAUGCCAAAUGACAGAAUUAUUACUGAUUWCUGUAGGAGUCUUUGGAUCAUGUGGCAGAUCCUUGGCACUACUGGGUAACACAGAGCUGUCUGAAAAGGAUGGGUGUGGAAUGUGUUUUGCAUGAGUUUCAGUGAAUGACAGUGCACUGGGGGCAAUAUAUUCCACAGAAGUCUAGAAAUGCAAAAGUUAGGAGUUUAGUUUAAGCAAGUCUUGCUUCUGAAAUCAGUAGAAAGAUACGGGUGGUUCCCAGAUGCAAUCUGAACGGCAGCUAGAAUAAAUCACUCUUUCAGGAUGUCAUAUUUGGCGCUCGCCAAAAUCACUGGAGAUAAAGGCUGAUGCACAGGGAURGACUUCAGUUGCAUUUGAGAAGGUUUCUGGAUAAAUCUCAUGCUUACAUUACCCUUCAGAGCAAAAUCAAGCUAUCUGCAGUAUCCUGAUAUGAACCUGGUGAGACCUGGAAUGCCUGUGCAGAACAUCUAAUAAUACCUGUUUCUUUCUAUUUUCACAUGUUUCAUGCUGUGCAAAAACAUUGGUUUUGGGGUUCCUCCUACAAGGGCUAUGACAUCAGACACUGCAGGGGCUGAUGAGUUUUAUUUAUUUGCUGGUAUGCAGUUGCAUGACUACAGAAUCUGGAAGAGAGAAAAGAAUCAGUUGAGAAGCAACAGAACUGUGGAUUCCACAUAUUGUGUUUCUCUAGAGCCACCUUGAGCCACAGAAUACAAAUAAAUAAUGUAAGCUGAAGGUGCUACUCGGAGGCACAGUUUUAUCCAUCCUUCAACCUUGGGUGUCAUGUUCCAGCACCAGUUCACAUAAGGCUGUGCAGAAGAGACCAGAAGGUUUUAUGUGGACCAAUUCCAAUAACAUACAAGACAAUUACAUAGAGACUUCUGAAGGUCCUGCUCUGGCAUGGACUGUUCUGACGGCUCUGCCAUCACCUAGGAAGGUAAAAUCUCUUUCACCUUCCUAUAUCUGUUUGCAGGAACUUGUGCUUCUUGCCAAGCAACUGAUGGUCACAAGCCAUAAGAGUGGCCUUCACUGUAAUCUGUUUUCUCCCCAGCCACAGAACRAGAUCAGAUCUAUCAGUUCUUGCUGCACUUUCAGGCAAGGUGCCAGUAACUUUGCCAUAUGCCGCCAGCAGGGAUCCUUAACAAAGACAUGUCUUGGUGAUUGCUUUUCCUUUUUAAAAGACAAAGGAAACUGUAUAUAUGUCUAGAUGAAGGGGAGCUCUAGCAUAACUGAAUGUCUUUCCUUUUGCAAUAAAUUGGAUCUUAAAUCAGCUCAACUUCUUAAAAUACAAUUUUUCAAGAAAAAAAACUACACAAUUUGGCAAAACCAGAUUAAAAACAGAUUAGAUGCUAUAAAGUCUGUUAUAAUAAAAGACAGCUUCUGYGUCUUUGCUAAACAUUGUGCUAAUCAGUGAUAUAAUGAAUAUUAGAAAAAGCAGCAAAUUGAUUCCUAAAUGUCACAAUUACAUUUUAACAGAGGACAUUAAAAGCAGUUAUUUCCUUUCUUGAUUGCUUAGAGGUUUUAUUAUUUCAUUAUAAUUUAUCAUACAAAWACAAACCAGGCCAGCUCAGCUUCUUUUGUUUAUAGAUAAUAAAUAAAUGGAAUUUAAAAGGAAGCUAUAGAAACCCCUUCAGUAGAAUUUAUUUUAUAGCAAUUCACAAAGGUUUUUGUCAGAACAACUGAAGCAUUUUUUGUCCUCAGCAAGACCAAAACAAGAUUGUAUUCGAAAAGCUUUAUGUGAGAAGGUCCAUUGGCGCUCACAUUCAAAGUAAUUAUUCUUGUAAAAUUAAUUAACUUUUUUUUUUAAUCUAAGCCCUUAGAAUACUUCCCAUUAGUAACAGCAGGUCUGUGCUUUUUAUGUUCAUUGUGGCAGAUGUUCUUUACAUCCCAGAUUUCCUCAGAACAACAGAAUGGUUUGAUGGAUGAAAGACUACAUCUGGAAAAAGUGUAUCAGUCAGCAUCAUUAAAAGCCUGAGCUAGGGCCCACUGAAAUCAGUGGGAGUCACUGGCUUAUGUUCACAUUUUUUAUAUCUUGUUAAGAAGGAGUAAGUCUUAAUUAUUAAAAAAGAAUGGAAUUAUAUUCUUUACUUGCAUUGCACAUAAUUUAUUUCUCCAACAGUGAAGAAGAGACAGGUUGUAUUGGCAGAAGAAUCUGUCAUGGCACUUAAGGAUAGCUGGGCUUGGGAUCCCAUGAGACUUUCAGGUUUACACAGUGAGUGCCAGCUGGCAAACACCCUGGGGAGUCUGCAAAGGCUCCUAAAACGUGCUGGGAAGGUGUAGCUGGCUAUGGCGUACCACUACUACUGACAAAAGGGAAGAACGUUUAAGCAAACAAGAAAGCUGAAGGCUGAGGUUUCUAUGACAGCAUUUUGGCUAGGCCAGGGUUARUUUUUGCAGUAGCCAGGAGGAGGUAUGGCUAGGACCUGAAGGUCAUUCUCUACCACCUCACWUCAUUUUCUGGGGACUGGGGA